Long non-coding RNA from Salvia miltiorrhiza (redroot sage), 631 nucleotides. RefSeq lists it as uncharacterized. The transcript has 3 exons. The record is from RefSeq and is a predicted model, not a curated record. NCBI's taxonomy places the organism in Eukaryota, Viridiplantae, Streptophyta, Magnoliopsida, Lamiales, Lamiaceae.
GGUCAUUCCUUGCCUAUUCAACUGGUAUAAUCUGUAUACUCAUUUUUCAUAAAUUUGAGACUUUUGAGUCUUAAUGUGCUGCAGGUUGACCUAACAGAAUAUUUGGAGAAACAUGAAUUUGUAUUUGAUGCUGUACUAAACGAAGAAGUGUCAAAUGAUGAGGUAUAUCAUGAAACUGUAGAGCCUAUCAUUCCCAUAAUUUUCCAACGUACGAAAGCUACUUGCUUUGCUUAUGGGCAAACAGGAAGUGGCAAAACAUAUACAAUGAAGCCACUGCCCCUUAGAGCAGUGAGAGACAUCUUGAGGCUCAUUCAUCAUACCUACAGGAACCAAGGCUUUCAGUUGUUUGUCAGCUUCUUUGAGAUAUAUGGGGGGAAACUCUUCGAUCUGCUCAGUGAUAGGAAGUAAGCUGUUUUCUGGGUUUUUUGUUGGCUUUCACCCUCCAGUGCAAUCUCAACUAGUUCUUGAGGACUUGGUGCUAGAACACAUAAUAUGAUAGAUUUUUGUUUUAGCUAUAAGAUAGUUGGUACUUUCAAUUUUGAAUCGAAAUAUGCAAUGAUCAUAUGUACUUGAUACUUGGUUCAUUUGGAUGGUAAUGUAUGAAUAUUUUGGAUGAUAUAUAAUAUUGUUA